This 467-nucleotide ribosomal RNA is filed under the name uncultured bacterium. Its description in RNAcentral is "partial 16S ribosomal RNA". It matches the Rfam family "Bacterial small subunit ribosomal RNA", at positions 28 to 507 of the family's 1533-position model. The record is from RNAcentral.
GAUGAACGCUGGCGGCGCGCCUAACACAUGCCAGUCGAACGAUUAAAGCACCUUCGGGUGUGUAUAAAGUGGCGAACGGCUGAGUAACACGUGGGCAACCUGCCCCUUUCAUUGGGAUAGCCACGGGAAACCGUGGAUAAUACCGAAUACUUCGAGACUUCCGCAUGGAAGACUCGAGAAAGCUCCGGCGGCGAGGGAUGGGCCCGCGGCCUGUUAGCUUGUUGGUGGGGUAACGGCCUACCAAGGCAAUGAUGGGUAGCUGGGUUGAGAGACCGACCAGCCAGAUUGGGACUGAGACACGGCCCAGACUCCUACAGGAGGCAGCAGUGGGGAAUCUUGCACAAUGGGCGAAAGCCUGAUGCAGCGACGUCGCGUGCGGGAUGAAGGCCUUCGGGUUGUAAACCGCUUUCAGCAGGGACGAGGCGAAAGUGACGGUACCUGCAGAAGAAGCCCCGGCUAACUACGUG